AGUGCAAGAGCGCACGAGCAGCCGAGAGAACGAACGAGUGCGCACGAGAGUGUGCGAGUGAGUGUGCGUGUGUUUGUGUGUGUGUGUGUGUGAGAGAGAGAGAGAGAGAGAGAGAGAGAGUCGCAUGCGUCGAGAAGAUCUCAGAGCUCUGCACUGUGUGCAUUGUGAAGAAGCAAAAACUUCUCCAGCAGACAUCUGUGGUCCUUCCGCUUGCAAACAAGGAGCGACUGAGCGCGAGACGCGCGCGCUGCGAGGCGCUUCUUGGGCUUCUCGGGUUUUUAGAGGGGGAAUCAGGAGUGUGUUCCGUGCGAGACCCCGAGGCGCGAGGAGCUCACUGAAACCCUCUCAGCUGGUCUACAGAGGAGGAACUUUGCCCUCGAACCUGGCUCGAGACGUCCCCACCAUCACCACCACCACCACCGCCACCGCGACGAUGGGCGGAUUUAUCUGCACGCGCUGAGGAUUUCACCAUUUUUUCAUUGUUUCUUUCUUCUCUAUUCUUUUUUUUUUUUUUUUUUUUUUUUUGGAUGAACGUGAACGGAACGUUUACACCAGAGCGUCCUGAAAGCACUGAUAGAACAGAUUUGACUGGACUGGGACACAUUUAGGUCAGUUUUAGUCGCUGUGAUGUGAAAUCCAGGACUGUAAUCCAGGAGAAAUGAGCAGUAAAUAACCCAAGCCGGCGCGCACUGGGUGGAUAAGGUCUAAUUCGGCUCAGCUGAGUCUCAUUCAUUCACCAGAGACCCAUAUCUAAAGCCUGUUUCCUGCCAUGUCGUGGUUUCUCUGUUUGUGGAUAGCGGUAAGCUGCCUCGUGCUCUGCCAGGCCACUCUGUACGAGACCAUCCAGCAGCACCACGUGCCUCGACCCGGCCGCAACGCCAUCCAGAUCCUCGAGGGUGGGACGUGUGAGGUGAUCGCAGCCCAUCGGUGCUGCAACAAGAACCGCAUUGAGGAGCGCUCGCAGACGGUCAAGUGCUCGUGUCUGCCGGGCAAAGUAGCAGGAACGACACGCAACAAGCCCUCCUGUGUGGACGCCUCCAUUGUGAUCGGGAAAUGGUGGUGUGAGAUGGAGCCGUGUUUGGAAGGAGAGGAGUGCAAGACACUGCCAGAUAACUCGGGCUGGAUGUGUUCUUCUGGAAACAAGAUCAAAACCACCAGGCUUAACUGAGCCGCGGCGAGUUCCGGAUCAUUCUCCACUUUUCCACAGAACACACAGCCAUAUUCCCCUUUUUAGCUCGAGAGCAGCUGCAGGAGAAGCGACGCCGAACUCUCAGCGCAAGAGAGCGAGCCCUCCUUGACAAGGAAGGUCUUUUGUUUGAGGAGGGCCACAAUGUGAGAGAAAGAAAGAAAGAAAGACAGAGAGAAAGGCUGGCGAUCGUCCAGUCACUCACCUCUGCUUUUACCUGCUGCUCUGGUUCAAUUCCCAUGAAAAAAAAAAAAUACAUAACAAACACAAAAAAAUUAUUUAAGGAUUUUUUUUUACAAUCUGCUCAGCUGUGGGCUUUUAAAUGGAAUAAAAAAGGAAACGUGUGAAGAUACUUUGAGUUGUUUGUGAAUGUCUCGGGCAUUUCUGGUCAUCAUAACGCUGUGGAAACACCACACGCAAUUCUGUUCAGAGAAAAGUGAAGAAUUUGGGACAUUUAACACAUCAUAUAGGAUCAUGUCAGGAUUCCUGUCAGGAUCGUCCACAGAAAGACUCGUCUCUUAUGACAAUUGGUACAAUUUCUUCUCGCCGUCUGACAUCUUCAUUCGGACUCAGCGUGCAUGCGGGCGACGUUUUCUGUUUAAACUCUGAACAUGAAUGACAAAAAAAGCAGAGGAGAAACGCCAUGUGGUAAAAUCCUACAUCCUGCUCUUCAGCCUGAGCUGAGACACAGAGGAGGAGGACAACUAUUCAUCCUAGGACUUAACCCACAGCUCCCAUGUGGCUGCGCUCGAGCGUCCCCUCUGUCCCAGCGGACUAAACCAUUCCAUCAAAGGCCGGUCUAAACGGAUUAGCAACGAAAGAAGGGCAUCAGCACGCUUACACUGACCACGUGCCAAGGAGACAGUUUUCUGGGAUUUUAUUCCUUUUUUUUCCUUUUUUUGGGGACAAGGCCACAAGAUGAUCCGGACAUCUCCUCUUCUCAAAACGAGCGAGACUGAUCUGACAUGUUCUGAUCUCUUCCCUUUGAAAAUCUCCCAUUUCUCUCCAUCUUUUAUUCAUAUACACGUAGCAUAACCUCAUAUCGAUACGUUUCUCCAGCACAAUGGACGCUUUAGAUCAGGAACUAACAGGACAGACGGAUUAGAGACGUCCCUCGUCCAGCUAAUCACCGUCCCAGUUUGGACUCAUGGCAUGCUCGCUUUGUCUGGACUUGAGGAGUGUGUAGCCUGACUUGAGCCUCACCGAACCAGCAAACAACCACAACCACCACACACACACACACUCUCCCAGGGUCGUAGGUCAAACCCCAGUGCGGUCUCUCUUUUCUCCGUCAGCAUGCUCGGUGUACUUUGUGGGAGCUUUUAUUCGUAUCCUGUACAUAUGUGUGUAUAUAUCUACAUAUACAUCGGGAAAAAAAAAUAACGACAAGUUGUAUGAUCUUGUAUGCUAAAGACCUGUUCCUAUGGUUCAGGAGAGUGUGUGACUGUGCUCAUGUUUCCUUACAGGAUGUCUACGGGAUACGACAUUCACCAUCUUUCCUUUGGAAAAAAAAAAGAUUGAAUGAAUGACUUGAAAAUAAAAGUGGUAUGUUACGUGUA
Silurus meridionalis is the source of this 2745-nucleotide RNA transcript. It is a transcript of the gene named chemokine-like protein TAFA-1, with no coding region annotated. The transcript has 9 exons. NCBI's taxonomy places the organism in Eukaryota, Metazoa, Chordata, Actinopteri, Siluriformes, Siluridae. The record is from RefSeq and is a predicted model, not a curated record.